GAUGAACGCUGGCGGCGUGCCUAAUACAUGCAAGUCGAGCGAACAGACGAGGAGCUUGCUCCUCUGACGUUAGCGGCGGACGGGUGAGUAACACGUGGAUAACCUACCUAUAAGACUGGGAUAACUUCGGGAAACCGGAGCUAAUACCGGAUAAUAUAUUGAACCGCAUGGUUCAAUAGUGAAAGACGGUUUUGCUGUCACUUAUAGAUGGAUCCGCGCCGCAUUAGCUAGUUGGUAAGGUAACGGCUUACCAAGGCGACGAUGCGUAGCCGACCUGAGAGGGUGGUCGGCCACACGAGAACGGGAACACGGUCCAGGCUCCUGCGGGAGGCAGCAGUAGGGAAUCGGCCGCAAUGGGCGAAAGCCUGACGGAGCAACGCCGCGUGAGUGAUGAAGGUCUUCGGAUCGUAAAACUCUGUUAUGAGGGAAGAACAAAUGUGUAAGUAACUAUGCACGUCUUGACGGUACCUAAUCAGAAAGCCACGGCUAACUACGUG
This 497-nucleotide ribosomal RNA is filed under the name uncultured bacterium. RNAcentral describes it as "partial 16S ribosomal RNA". It matches the Rfam family "Bacterial small subunit ribosomal RNA", at positions 28 to 507 of the family's 1533-position model. The record is from RNAcentral.